Molecule: unclassified non-coding RNA, 288 nt
Filed under: uncultured Cortinarius
Lineage: Eukaryota; Fungi; Basidiomycota; Agaricomycetes; Agaricales; Cortinariaceae
Description: sequence contains ITS2
Rfam family: 5.8S ribosomal RNA (bases 1-52)
Source: RNAcentral
AACGCACCUUGCGCUCCUUGGUAUUCCGAGGAGCAUGCCUGUUUGAGUGUCAUUAAUAUAUAAAUCAACCCUCUCUUGAUGAGUGGUUUGGAUGUGGGGGUUUGCUGGCGGCCUCUUGGAGGAUUGAUUCAGCUCCCCUGAAAUGCAUUAGCAGAACAAACCCGUUCAUUGGUGUGAUAACUAUCUACGCUAUUGAAUGUGAGGUGGCAGUUCAGCUUUCUAACAGUCUUUGGACAAAUUCAUCAUUAAUGUGGCCUCAAAUCAGGUAGGACUACCCGCUGAACUUAA